CGACGGGUGAGUAACACGUAUGCAAUCCACCUGUAACAGGGGGAGUAACCCGGAGAAAUCCGGACUAAUACCCCAUAAUAUGGGCGCUCCGCAUGGAGAGCCCAUUAAAGAGAGCAAUUUUGGUUACAGACGAGCAUGCGCUCCAUUAGCCAGUUGGCGGGGUAACGGCCCACCAAAGCGACGAUGGAUAGGGGUUCUGAGAGGAAGAUCCCCCACAUUGGAACUGAGACACGGUCCAA
RNAcentral lists this ribosomal RNA (239 nucleotides) under uncultured bacterium. RNAcentral's name for it is "partial 16S ribosomal RNA". It matches the Rfam family "Bacterial small subunit ribosomal RNA", at positions 102 to 334 of the family's 1533-position model. The record is from RNAcentral.